GUACUGGUAGUUCAGGUAGAACUCUCACCUUCCAUAUGAGAGACCUGGGUUCAAGUCCCUGCUAAUACA
This 69-nucleotide transfer RNA is filed under the name Loxodonta africana (African savanna elephant). It matches the Rfam family "tRNA". Rfam says of the family: Transfer RNA (tRNA) molecules are approximately 80 nucleotides in length. Their secondary structure includes four short double-helical elements and three loops (D, anti-codon, and T loops). Lineage: Eukaryota; Metazoa; Chordata; Mammalia; Proboscidea; Elephantidae. The record is from Rfam by way of RNAcentral.